RNAcentral lists this ribosomal RNA (1433 nucleotides) under Acinetobacter sp. RNAcentral's name for it is "bacterial SSU rRNA". It matches the Rfam family "Bacterial small subunit ribosomal RNA". The record is from RNAcentral. Lineage: Bacteria; Pseudomonadati; Pseudomonadota; Gammaproteobacteria; Moraxellales; Moraxellaceae.
CGGAAUUUCGUUACCUGCAGUCGAGCGGGCGUGUACUUGCUACCUUACCUAUCGGCGGACGGGUGAGUAAUGCUUAGGAAUCUGCCUAUUAUUGGGGGACAACAUUCCGAAAGGAAUGCUAAUACCGCAUACGCCCUACGGGGGAAAGCAGGGGAUCUUCGGACCUUGCGCUAAUAGAUGAGCCUAAGUCAGAUUACCUAGUUGGUGGGGUAAAGGCCUACCAAGGGGACGAUCUGUAGCGGGUCUGAGAGGAUGAUCCGCCACACUGGGACUGACACACGGCCCAGACUCCUACGGGAGGCAGCAGUGGGGAAUAUUGGACAAUGGGCGAAAGCCUGAUCCAGCCAUGCCGCGUGUGUGAACAAGGCCUUUUGGUUGUAAAGCACUUUAAGCGAGGAGGAGGCUACUUGGAUUAAUACUCUAAAAUAGUGGACGUUACUCUCACAAUAACCACCGGCUAACUCUGUGCCAGCAACCGCGGUAAUACAGAGGGUGCGAGCGUUAAUCGGAUUUACUGGGCGUAAAGCGUGCGUAGGCGGCUUUUUAAGUCGGAUGUGAAAUCCCUGAGCUUAACUUAGGAAUUGCAUUCGAUACUGGGAAGCUAGAGUAUGGGAGAGGAUGGUAGAAUUCCAGGUGUAGCGGUGAAAUGCGUAGAGAUCUGGAGGAAUCACGAUGGAGAAGGCAGCCAUCUGGCGUAAUACUGACGCUGAGGUACGAAAGCAUGGGGAGCAAACAGGAUUAGAUACCGUGGUAGUCCAUGCCGUAAACGAUGUCUAAUAUCCGUUGGGGCCUUUGAGGCUUUAGUGGCGCAGUUAACGCGAUAAGUAGACCGCCUGGGGAGUACGGUCGCAAGACUAAAACUCAAAUGAAUUGACGGGGGCCCGCCCAAGCGGUGGAGCAUGUGGUUUAAUUCGAUGCAACGCGAAGACCCUUACCUGGUCUUGACAUAGUAAGAACUUUCCAGAGAUGGAUUGGUGCCUUCGGGAACUUACAUACAGGUGCUGCAUGGCUGUCGUCAGCUUGUGUCGUGAGAUGUUGGGUUAAGUCCCGCAACGAGCGCAACCCUUUUCUUUAUUUGCCAGCGGGUUAAGCCGGGAACUUUAAGGAUACUGCCAGUGACAAACUGGAGGAAGGCGGGGACGACGUCAAGUCAUCAUGGCCCUUACGCCCAGGGCUACACACGUGUUCCAAUGGUCGGUACAAAGGGUUGCUACCUAGCGAUAGGAUGGUAAUCUCAAAAAGCCGAUCGUAGUCCGGAUUGGAGUCUGCAACUCGACUCCAUGAAGUCGGAAUCGUUAGUAAUCGCGGAUCAGAAUGCCGCGGUGAAUACGUUCCCGGCCCUUGUCCCCCCCGCCCGUCCCACCAUGGGAAUUUGUUCCACCAGAAGUAGGUAGUGUAACCGCAAGGAGGCCGCUACCACGGUGUCCAGUGGG